GACGAACGCUGGCGGCGUGCUUAACACAUGCAAGUCGAACGGAAAGGCCCUGCUUUUGUGGGGUGCUCGAGUGGCGAACGGGUGAGUAACACGUGAGUAACCUGCCCUUGACUUUGUGAUAACUUCAGGAAACUGGGGCUCAUACCCGGUAUGAGCUCCUGCUGCAUGGUGGGGGUUGGUAAGUGUCGGCGGUUGGGGAUGGUUUGGCGGCUUAUGAGCCUGUUGGUGGGGUAGUGGCUUACCAAGGCUUUGACGGGUAGCCGGCCUGGGAGGGGUACCGGCCACAUUGGGACUGAGGUACGGACCAGACUCCUACGGGAGGCAGCAGUGGAGAAUAUUGCGGAAUAGGCGGAAGCCAGAUGCGGCAACGCCGCGUGCGGGAUAACGGGCUUCUGGUUGUAAACCACUGUCGCAGGUGACGAAGCGUGAGUGACGGUAAUGGGUAAGGAAGCACCGGCUAACUACGUG
RNAcentral lists this ribosomal RNA (468 nucleotides) under uncultured bacterium. RNAcentral's name for it is "partial 16S ribosomal RNA". It matches the Rfam family "Bacterial small subunit ribosomal RNA", at positions 28 to 507 of the family's 1533-position model. The record is from RNAcentral.